CUGCGUUACAACCAAUAAGUGGCAUUUGAACACCCCAAUUUGGCAAAAUACACACUUAAUGUCUUGUAACAAACCCAUUGCUUGUAACCAGUGGAGUGAUGAGCUUUUUAUAUUUUAGACCAGAUAUACUACAAUAAAGGUAUGUUGAGUUUUGAAGACUUGAGAUGUAGUUUUGAGGUCACCAGGACAUCCUUCUUGUAUCUGUGCGUAAGAUCAGCCCUAAAAUGUUAUCGAGUGCCAUGGGGAAACAGUCUUGCGAUGCACCCAGUCAUUAAAUGGUUGUUGAGUUUCCUGUGAGAGGAUUAGCGUCUAAGAUCUAUGCUAAACUGAUGCAAGUAUCCAUAGAAGAACUCCCAAUAGCAAGGAAAUGGGAGGAACAGCUGAGCACUAAGGGGCACACAAUUAAUAGGGAG
This is a long non-coding RNA of Etheostoma spectabile (orangethroat darter), 413 nucleotides long. RefSeq lists it as uncharacterized. Lineage: Eukaryota; Metazoa; Chordata; Actinopteri; Perciformes; Percidae. The record is from RefSeq and is a predicted model, not a curated record. The transcript has 3 exons.